AACGAACGCUGGCGGCAUGCCUAACACAUGCAAGUCGAACGAGAACUUCGGGUCUAGUGGCGCACGGGUGCGUAACGCGUGGGAACCUGCCCUUAGGGUCGGAAUAACUCUCCGAAAGGGGUGCUAAUACCGGAUAAUGUCUUCGGACCAAAGAUUUAUUGCCCUUGGUUGGGCCCGCGUUGGAUUAGCUAGUUGGUAGGGUAAAAGCCUACCAAGGCGACGAUCCAUAGCUGGUCUGAGAGGAUGAUCAGCCACACUGGGACUGAGACACGGCCCAGACUCCUACGGAAGGCAGCAGUGGGGAAUAGAGGACAAUGGGCGGAGGCCUGAUCGAGCACGGCCGCGAGAGUUAUGAAAGCCUUAGGGUUGUAAAGCUCUUUUACCCGGGAUGAUAAUGACAGUACCGAGAGAAUAAGCCCCGGCUAACUCCGUG
This 433-nucleotide ribosomal RNA is filed under the name uncultured bacterium. RNAcentral's name for it is "partial 16S ribosomal RNA". It matches the Rfam family "Bacterial small subunit ribosomal RNA", at positions 29 to 507 of the family's 1533-position model. The record is from RNAcentral.